Molecule: ribosomal RNA, 273 nt
Filed under: uncultured bacterium
Lineage: Bacteria
Description: partial 16S ribosomal RNA
Source: RNAcentral
CUGCUGCCUUCCGUAGGAGUUUGGACCGUGUCUCAGUUCCAAUGUGGGGGACCUUCCUCUCAGAACCCCUACGCAUCGUCGGCUUGGUGGGCCGUUGCCCCACCAACUACCUAAUGCGCCGCAUGCCCAUCCGUGACCGGGGUCGCCCCCUUUGGCCGGCAGGGGAUGUCCCCUCCCGGCAUUAUGUUGUAUUAGGCGGGAUUUCUCCCGGUUAUCCAUCAGUCACGGCCAGGUUGCAUACGUGUUACUCACCCGUGCGCCGGUCGCCGGCGG